AUACGUAGGGAGCGAGCGUUGUCCGGAAUUACUGGGCGUAAAGGGAGUGUAGGCGGGACGGUAAGUCAGGUGUGAAAUUUAUGGGCUCAACUCAUAAACUGCACUUGAAACUGCUGUUCUUGAGUGAAGUAGAGGUUGGCGGAAUUCCUAGUGUAGCGGUGAAAUGCGUAGAUAUUAGGAGGAACACCAGUAGCGAAGGCGGCUUUCUGGACUGUAACUGACACUGAGGCACGAAAGCGUGGGGAGC
RNAcentral lists this ribosomal RNA (247 nucleotides) under uncultured bacterium. RNAcentral's name for it is "partial 16S ribosomal RNA". It matches the Rfam family "Bacterial small subunit ribosomal RNA", at positions 523 to 769 of the family's 1533-position model. The record is from RNAcentral.